GAUAAACGCUGGCGGCGUGCUUAACACAUGCAAGUCGAACGGAGUACUUCUCCCGAGACCGAGGAAGCUUGCUUCCAAAGAAUCAUUUGAAGUACUUAGUGGCGGACGGGUGAGUAACGCGUGGGUAACCUGCCUCACACAGGGGGAUAACAGUUGGAAACGACUGUUAAUACCGCAUAAGCGCACAGUAUCGCAUGAUACAGUGUGAAAAACUCCGGUGGUGUGAGAUGGACCCGCGUCUGAUUAGCUAGUUGGUGAGGUAACGGCCCACCAAGGCGACGAUCAGUAGCCGGCCUGAGAGGGUGUACGGCCACAUUGGGACUGAGACACGGCCCAAACUCCUACGGGAGGCAGCAGUGGGGAAUAUUGCACAAUGGGGGAAACCCUGAUGCAGCGACGCCGCGUGAGCUGAUGAAGUAUUUCGGUAUGUAAAGCUCUAUCAGCAGGGAAGAUAAUGACGGUAC
This 464-nucleotide ribosomal RNA is filed under the name bacterium AE3012. RNAcentral's name for it is "bacterial SSU rRNA". It matches the Rfam family "Bacterial small subunit ribosomal RNA", at positions 28 to 478 of the family's 1533-position model. The record is from RNAcentral.